UACAGAGGGGGCAAGCGUUGUUCGGAAUUACUGGGCGUAAAGGGCGCGUAGGCGGCCUGCUAAGUCGAACGUGAAAUCCCUGGGCUCAACCCAGGAACUGCGUCCGAUACUGGUUGGCUUGAAUCCGGGAGAGGGACGUGGAAUUCCAGGUGUAGCGGUGAGAUGCGUAGAUAUCUGGAGGAACACCGGUGGCGAAGGCGACGUCCUGGACCGGCAUUGACGCUGAGGCGCGAAAGCCAGGGGAGCAAACGGG
This 253-nucleotide ribosomal RNA is filed under the name uncultured bacterium. Its description in RNAcentral is "partial 16S ribosomal RNA". It matches the Rfam family "Bacterial small subunit ribosomal RNA", at positions 524 to 776 of the family's 1533-position model. The record is from RNAcentral.